Electrophorus electricus (electric eel) is the source of this 1891-nucleotide non-coding RNA. NCBI's taxonomy places the organism in Eukaryota, Metazoa, Chordata, Actinopteri, Gymnotiformes, Gymnotidae. The record is from RefSeq and is a predicted model, not a curated record.
UCCAGAAGAACGUCUCCAUGGUGCUGCGCAGACUCCUGCGAAAACGCUGGGUUCUGGGGGUCGUAUUCGGCUUGUCCCUAAUUUACUUUCUUACCAGCACCCUUAAACAGGAGGAGCGAACUAUACGUGAUCGGACUCUCCUGGAGGCGAGAGAAUCCGAGCACCACAUUCCGUGGAAAGUCAAGUUCACCCUCGGCAACAGCAGCAGGCAGAUCACACAGUGCAGAAACUCCAUACAGGGGAAGACGCUUCUCACCGACGAACUUGGUUAUGUUUGUGAGAGGAAGGACCUGCUGGUGAAUGGGUGCUGUAAUGUGAAUUUAGCGAGCUCCAGGCAGUAUAUCUGUAAGAGCUGCCUACCCAACGACUGCUGCAGCGUGUACGAAUACUGCGUGUCCUGCUGCCUCCAGCCUGACAAGCAACCCCAGCUGGAGCGCUUUUUGAACAGAGCAGCGGAAGGCUUUCGGAACCUCUUCACGGCUGUGGAGGAUCACUUCGAGCUUUGCCUGGCCAAAUGCCGUACAUCCUCACAGAGUGUCCAGCAUGAAAACACUUACAGAAACCCCCAGGCCAAGUACUGUUAUGGAGAAAGCCCCCCAGAGCUCUUGCCUCUUUGAUAGUGGUUUGACCCCAGCUUACUGAAACUAGCAAGACUCCAGGGCACAGAACCAAGUCCUCCAUGUUCCUGUGAAAUGGAACACAAUCCACGCCCCAAUGAAGCGACAGGCCUGCUUGUGCGGCAGACUGCAGUUAAUGUGCUGAUGCAGGAGGAUGCAUGAAGAAGGGAAAUUCGCACCAUGUCAGUGGCACGGAUGGGAUGAGUGGGUGAGGUUCAUGAGGAGGACUUAAGUACCUUUUCCAUUUCACACUUCUUUAACACUUACUGAGUUCUUUAACACUUACUGAGCACAUACACAAGGUGGACACUUCAUUUCGGGGAAACAUCACACCAGAGUUCUAUGGUUUGACUUUGCGGGAAGAAACUGCAGUAUGCAUCAGCACAAAUGAAUAAAGGCAGUAGAUAAUCUUACUGGUGCAGCACACCAAGAGUCUGGAGAAGCACUUCAUUAACUGUGAAAGCAACAUUCUUUGAAAGCUGUUUGAACGCCAACAUUUAUUUCAAGUGGACCUCGGAUUUGAUGUUUUAAAAAUGCUCAGAAUGUUUUCUUUAUGAUUCUCCUGUUCAGGAUUCAUCGUUUGUAGAAUAUACAGUAAAUUGCUCCUGCAGCUUUGACAGUCACACACACCUAGUAGAGCAGAUAAUGCAAGGCUCUAAAAACAUGAGGGUCAUGGGUUUGAUACCCAGGCACAGAUAAUGUCACAAUAAGUAACGUGCUCUGGAUAAAAAUGUCCACCAAAUGCUGAACAUGUAAACUAUCUAUAAUAACCUAGAAAGCCUUCAAGAAGUUAUGCUAACAGUGUUUGGAUGUCUGGUCAUAAUUGACUGCAGGAAUCUACUGGAUACCUAGAAAGUAUCUGUAACAAUAAUAAAUAUAAUAAUAAUAAUAAUAUAGUCAAAUAUUGUGCAAUGGAUCCAAUAUGAACCAAAACUAAAAGAAGCCCAAGCGUGAAGGCAUUCCUCAGUUAUUUGCUAGUGCCAUUAUUACAACACUUGCUAUUAUUGUGCAGUAGUGAGUGAGAAGCGCUUCUUGGAAAAGUGAUUGUGCGGCUACCGCAGGCACAGUGAGGUUCAUACUUCUUAUGAGACAGCCUGUCAAGUAUUGUGUUUUAAAUAGUCCACUGAUUAAAAUAGAAUCUCCGGUGGCGUUCCCACUGUCAUCACAGAAUCUACACCUAAUUUAGCUCAAACUGGGUGUUAGACAAUGACUAAGCCACUAAACAGUAUAUUUUUCCAAAGUGACUCUAAAGGUGGAGUUACUCCCUGCAAAGA